GACUUUGAGGGCGAUCUGUCUGUGACAUAUGUCACCCCACUGCUUGCCAGGGUUAGUUAAUUCAGGUGAUCUGGCUGGUUGGGUGUCCUCUUCCUCCCUCACCACUCCAUGUGCCUGCAUUUAUCUGGAAGCUGAGGGAUCAGAACAACAUUCCCUGCAUAGAGGAGAACCAGGCUACUAUUCCAUGCUAGGAAAUCCUAACAUGCUCUCAAGAAAGAUUUUUGUGUCUACAAUCUGGGGUACUGUCCAUCUGUGCUGUUCUCUUUUUAAGUUAUUUCUGAUGGUGUGUACAUGUGA
This 297-nucleotide small nuclear RNA is filed under the name Meriones unguiculatus (Mongolian gerbil). RNAcentral describes it as "7SK RNA (ENSMUGG00000002323.1)". It matches the Rfam family "7SK RNA". From Rfam's summary of the family: 7SK was discovered as an abundant small nuclear RNA in the mid-70s but a possible function has only recently been suggested. Two independent studies have found that 7SK RNA binds the CDK9/cyclin T complex (known as elongation factor P-TEFb). Lineage: Eukaryota; Metazoa; Chordata; Mammalia; Rodentia; Muridae. The record is from RNAcentral.